This 777-nucleotide unclassified non-coding RNA is filed under the name Hevea brasiliensis (rubber tree). The record is from RNAcentral. Lineage: Eukaryota; Viridiplantae; Streptophyta; Magnoliopsida; Malpighiales; Euphorbiaceae.
CUUGAUGUUUCUGUAGAUCCUCCUAACAAACAGAUUUGAGCCCAAAUAACCGACAGCUCCUGCAUACAACAGAUAACACAAAUUUUUUAAAAGCUCAGAAUAGAAUUUUUAUUGGUACAUAGGAGGGUAGCAUCACGGGAUUUUCAAUAAGUUAGCAGCCAAUACUAUUUGCCAUGUACUUAAACCACGCAGUAUGAUAUUCCACAUUCUUUAAACUUCAUUUGUGAUAUAUUUAUAUAACAUAACUUUUUUAGACUUGUUUUCUGUUUAGACAAACCUAAAACUAAUCAACUUAGAGCAUAACAAUAUUUGAGUUCAAAAGGAAGAAUGUCAUCCGCUGCCAGCGAUAGUUAUGUUAAGUAAUUCCAAGGAAUGUGUUGCCCAGGGACUAGCAGACCAAGACAAAACAAUUAAUGCUCUCCUCAAGGCAUUAAAUAUUGCCAUUCACUGACAACUAAUUGCAUCAGCAUGCUGUUGCAAGUCACUAGAUAAGUGUGAUAAAUUGGUCCAAAGAACCAUAUCAUGGCCCAUAUAAGCUAAGCAGACUUUCUAACAUUAAAUAUCGAAGCCUUCACAUGCACUCCCAAGAUUAACUAACAAAAUGAAUAAUAAAAUCUCCAAGGGAAUAACAUCUGUUUACGUUGCAAAACAACACAGGUUAUUGAAGAAAUUAGAUUUCAAUAAAGAACCAACAUAAGGUAAUAAACAUUAAAAAAUUAAUCAGAAUUCACAGGAAAAAGGAAAACAAACUUACCGCAGAGGAUUCCUAAACCCAGA